AUAGCGUAUAUUAAAGUUGUUGCAGUUAAAAAGCUCGUAGUUGAACCUUGGGUCUGGGUGACUGGUCUCCCUAACUGGGUGCACUGAGAACCCGGACCUUUCCUUCUGGCAAGCCUCAUGCCCUUUACUGGGUGUGUUGGGGAACCAGGACUUUUACUUUGAAAAAAUUAGAGUGUUCAAAGCAGGCAUUUGCUCGGAUACAUUAGCAUGGAAUAAUAGAAUAGGACGUGUGGUUCUAUUUUGUUGGUUUCUAGGACCACCGUAAUGAUUAAUAGGGAUAGUCGGGGGCAUCAGUAUUCAAUUGUCAGAGGUGAAAUUCUUGGAUUAAUUGAAGACUAACUACUG
RNAcentral lists this ribosomal RNA (345 nucleotides) under Humaria hemisphaerica. Its description in RNAcentral is "SSU rRNA". It matches the Rfam family "Eukaryotic small subunit ribosomal RNA", at positions 594 to 945 of the family's 1831-position model. Lineage: Eukaryota; Fungi; Ascomycota; Pezizomycetes; Pezizales; Pyronemataceae. The record is from RNAcentral.